This is a long non-coding RNA of Alosa sapidissima (American shad), 456 nucleotides long. RefSeq lists it as uncharacterized. NCBI's taxonomy places the organism in Eukaryota, Metazoa, Chordata, Actinopteri, Clupeiformes, Clupeidae. The transcript is spliced from 2 exons. The record is from RefSeq and is a predicted model, not a curated record.
CAGUGUUGGGCAAGUUACUGAAAAUUAGUAAUUAGCUAGUUACUAGUUACUUCUUUCAAAAGUAAUUGAAUUACCGUACCAAUUACAGUAUAUCAAAAGUAAUUAGUUACUAGAGAAAGUAACUUUUGAGAUACUUUUAAGUCUGCUUUUAAAAUGUCAAUAUGAACAGUACUGAACAGUCACACACACAAUAAACCUAAUUUUUAGACCUAUUUAUUGUAGUUUCAACGGGCCUUCAAAUCAAUAACCUUGUGCAUGAGUUCUCAAACUUUUUCUGACCACAAAACAUUCUACAAUGCAUGAAGGCUUCCCUGACCUUGUUUUGCGCCACCCUCAUCAUCAAGGUGGUUUGAUAGAUAUGUACAGUACACUGCCUACUGCUUGCCUUCUACUAUACUACUACUACUAGUAGUAGUAUGCAUGGUGGUGCACUGACACUGAAUUCUGCAAUAUAGU